Molecule: long non-coding RNA, 2211 nt
Filed under: Homo sapiens (human)
Lineage: Eukaryota; Metazoa; Chordata; Mammalia; Primates; Hominidae
Description: HSALNT0341864
Source: RNAcentral
CUAUGAAUGAAAUGCAGUGCAAAAUAUAAGGCUGAGCUAAACCCUUUAAUGUUUUCACUUUUAAAAACAUAUUUGUUAAUAUGGCUAGUCCCUUAUACCAUCUAUAAAACAAAAUGCAAAGGAGGUCAAGAGCAAGUGGAUGUCCUUGAAGUCUGGGUAUUUGGUAAAAAAUAAAUUAAAAAAAUAAAAGAGAAAGCAAGAGGAAAAACAAUGGGUACACUUGCCCCUGAAAAUAUGAAUCUACCAGAGGCAAAAACAGUUGAUUACAUAGCAGCAAAUAAAAAGAACUGACUACCAUAGACUCAAUUAAUGAUACAUUUAAAAGUAUCUUGAUUCAUACAGAUAUACUAUUUUUCAGAGCAAGAAAGAGAAGGGGACAAUAAACAAAGAGUAAGUCUGCAUAAAUGGAGCAAUAACUAGUUUCCUUUCUUUUGCCAUGAGAAGAAACAUAGCCCUUAUACUAAAAAUAAUGACUUUCAAGCCAAAGUCCACUUUAAGAAUGUCAGAAAAGGGCACACUUUAUAAUCCUUUUUUCCUUGCAGCAAUUAUGAAAAAUUAUAAGGCAAUAUUGAAUGAGUAUAAACAGACAGCAAAGCAUGCAAUUAUGUUGCCUCUUUGUCUUCUGAUGAUAUCAUGUGCCAUUUUGCAAAAACGGAAUACCAAGAGAGGAAACUGGCCAACAGAGAUGAAAGUGCAGCAAAGAAAAGUGAUGACACCAGAAGUGAAAUGCAAAUUGAACUUGUAAAUGGAGUUACAGAAAAAAAUUGCUGACUGUGGGAAUGUCAAUAUUGCUGUUCAAGAGCCUCUAGACAUGCAACCAGAGGAACUUGCUGAAGGAGGACUUAAUGACAUCGGUGAAUAAGAGUGCUUUCAGAGAUCUCUGCCAGUGCCUGCUCGUCUUAAAAAGCUGCCAGGAGACACAGUGGUAGAGUGGAAACAACAGAAACUGCUGCCAGCAGAUCUGGGGCAUAACUGUACAUCUAUUCCUUACUGGCUAAGUGAGCCUGUAUAGAGGUUAUUUAACUUCCUUGAGACUGAGUUUGCUUAACUGUAAAAAUCAAGAUAAUAAUGCCCAUCCCAAAAGUGUGCUUGUGAGCAUUAUCUCAGAGAGUGGUCUCCACCAGGGGUGAUUUUACCCACAAGGGAACAUUUGGCAGUGUCUGGGGACAUUUUUGGCUGUCCCAUCUAGGAGGGGUGCUGCUGGCACCUAAUGGGUGGAAUGCAGAGAUACUGCUAAAUAUUCUACAAUGCACAAGACAUACCCUUACAACAAAGGAUUAUCCAGCCAAAAAUGUCAAUAGUGCCAGAGUUGAGAAAUUCAGAUAUAAGAUGAUACAAAAGUCCUUAGCAUAAUCUCUGGCACACAGUAGAUACUUACUAUGAUAGUUUCAUAUCCCAUCCUCCUUUAACUCUUUAAAGUUACUCAAUCAGCAAAUUAUCACUAAGAGAGUGCAUAUUUAUUCAUUCACUCAACAAAUAUUUACUGAGAAUGUAUACCAAUUACUGUCUAAGUGCCUGGCUCUGCUCCAUGAAAUGUACAGAGUAAAGUGAGAGACAGAUAGAAAUAACGUAGACUAUUACACCAGAUUUUGUAUGAGAAAACAAGAAUUAGAUUUCUUUAGGGGAAGUAAGCCUCAAAUGUUAGUAUUGAUGUAAAGGCUUAAAUAUUUGGAGAUAGGUAUGAGGAUGCUGCUGGGAGGAUGAAAACAUAAAGUGUGUAAAGAUGCAUUCUAAACUUGCAGGACCAAUAAUAUAUGCAUGGUAUUAUCAUGUCUCAAAGUACUCCCUUGUUUCCUCAGCAGCUAAUGCAAGAGAUACACCAAGCUGAGCAACAAGAAAAGAUCUACUGAAAGUCUCCUUGGCUUUACCAAGAAAGUUGCCGUGGACCCUUAGGUCACAUAGCCUGACCAUGCUCAGAUGAACCAAUGGUGCAACCACAGGAGGAACCUAAGUGCUCAGCUGAGAAGCAGGGACUGAAUCAAGCAGCAGACACGAUGAUAAAGUUUGGAUGUUUGUCCCCUCAAAAUCUCAUGUUAAAAUAUGACCCCAAUGUUGAGAGUGGGGUCUAAUGAGGGAGUCCUCCCAAGAAUGGCUUAGUGCCCUCCAAGAGGAAAUGGCUGGUAAUAAGUUUACACGAGAUUCGGUUGUUAAAAAGAGCCUAGCACCCCCUCCCUUCUCCCCUGCUCCCUCUCUUGCCAUGUGACACACCUG